This 72-nucleotide transfer RNA is filed under the name Bos taurus (domestic cattle). It matches the Rfam family "tRNA". Rfam says of the family: Transfer RNA (tRNA) molecules are approximately 80 nucleotides in length. RNAcentral also lists the same sequence under 2 other names. Lineage: Eukaryota; Metazoa; Chordata; Mammalia; Artiodactyla; Bovidae. The record is from Rfam by way of RNAcentral.
UCCCUGAUAGCUCAGUUGAUAAAGAAUCCGCCUGCAAUGCAGAAGACCCAGGUUUGAUUCCUGGGUCGGGAU